CGUGUAGGCGGAUGGGAACGUCGGAUACUGAAAGCCCCCGGCUCAACCGGGGAAGUGGUGCCGAAACGACCUGUCUGGAGGGACGUAGGGGGAUCUGGAACUUCCGGUGGAGCGGUGAAAUGCGUUGAGAUCGGAAGGAACGCCCGUGGCGAAAGCGAGGUCCUGGACGUCUGCUGACGCUGAGACGCGAAAGCUAGGGGAGCAAACGGGAUUAGAUACCCCGGUAGUCCUAGCCGUAAACGAUGGGCACUGGGUAGGGGGCUCGCCGAUGGGCUCUCUGCCGUAGCGAAAGCGUGAAGUGCCCCGCCUGGGGAGUAUGGUCGCAAGGCUGAA
This 333-nucleotide ribosomal RNA is filed under the name uncultured bacterium. Its description in RNAcentral is "bacterial SSU rRNA". It matches the Rfam family "Bacterial small subunit ribosomal RNA", at positions 568 to 898 of the family's 1533-position model. The record is from RNAcentral.